GAUGAACGCUGGCGGCGUGCCUAAUACAUGCGAGUCGAGCGAACAGACGAGAAGCUUGCUUCUCUGACGUUAGCGGCGGACGGGUGAGUAACACGUGGAUAACCUACCUAUAAGACUGGGAUAACUUCGGGAAACCGGAGCUAAUACCGGAUAAUAUAUUGAACCGCAUGGUUCAAUAGUGAAAGACGGUCUUGCUGUCACUUAUAGAUGGAUCCGCGCCGCAUUAGCUAGUUGGUAAGGUAACGGCUUACCAAGGCAACGAUGCCUAGCCGACCUGAGAGGGGUGAUGGGCCACACGGGAACGGGGACCCGGUCCAGACUCUUAGGGAAGGAGGAAGAAGGAAAUCUUCGGCAAUGGGCGAAGGCCUGACGGGCAAACGCGGCUGAGGUGUUGAGGGUCUUGGGUCCGUAAAACUCUUUAUUUGGGGAGAAACAAAGUUUUAGUAAACGUUGCACGUUUUAACGGUCCCAAAUAAAAAAGCACCGGUUAACAACGUC
Molecule: ribosomal RNA, 498 nt
Filed under: uncultured bacterium
Lineage: Bacteria
Description: partial 16S ribosomal RNA
Rfam family: Bacterial small subunit ribosomal RNA
Source: RNAcentral